CCUACGGGGGGCAGCAGUGAGGAAUAUUGGUCAAUGGUCGGGAGACUGAACCAGCCAAGCCGCGUGAGGGAGGAAGGUAUAGAGUAUCGUAAACCUCUUUUGUCAGGGAACAAAGACUGGGACGCGUCCCCGGAUGAGUGUACCUGAAGAAAAAGCAUCGGCUAACUCAGUGCCAGCAGCCGCGGUAAUACGGAGGAUGCGAGCGUUAUCCGGAUUUAUUGGGUUUAAAGGGGGCGCAGGCGGUCUGUUAAGUCAGCAGUCAAAGCCCGGGGCUCAAACCCCGGCCCGCCUUUGAAACUGGCGGGCUCGAGUUGGAGAGAAGUAUGCGGAAUGCGCGGUGUAGCGGUGAAAUGCAUAGAUAUCGCGCAGAACUCCGAUUGCGAAGGCAGCAUGCCGGCUCCACACUGACGCUGAGGCACGAAAGCGUGGGUAUCGAACAGGAUUAGAUACCCGAGUAGUC
This 460-nucleotide ribosomal RNA is filed under the name uncultured bacterium. RNAcentral describes it as "partial 16S ribosomal RNA". It matches the Rfam family "Bacterial small subunit ribosomal RNA", at positions 338 to 795 of the family's 1533-position model. The record is from RNAcentral.